GUGUCAGCAGCCGCGGUAACACGUAGGGGCCGAGCGUUGUCCGGAGUUACUGGGCGUAAAGCGCGCGCAGGCGGUUUCGCGCAUCCGUGGUGAAAGCCCCGCGCUCAACGCGGGAGAGUCCAAGGAGAUGGCGAGACUGGAGGCAGGGCGAGGCCGGUGGAAUUCCGGGUGUAGUGGUGAAAUGCGUAGAGAUCCGGAGGAACACCAGUGGCGUAGGCGGCCGGCUGGACCUGUCCUGACGCUGAGGCGCGAAGGCGUGGGGAGCGAACGGGAUUAGAUACCCGGGUAGUCC
RNAcentral lists this ribosomal RNA (292 nucleotides) under uncultured bacterium. RNAcentral describes it as "partial 16S ribosomal RNA". It matches the Rfam family "Bacterial small subunit ribosomal RNA", at positions 505 to 796 of the family's 1533-position model. The record is from RNAcentral.